Molecule: ribosomal RNA, 460 nt
Filed under: uncultured bacterium
Lineage: Bacteria
Description: partial 16S ribosomal RNA
Rfam family: Bacterial small subunit ribosomal RNA
Source: RNAcentral
CCUACGGGAGGCAGCAGUGAGGAAUAUUGGUCAAUGGCCGUAAGGCUGAACCAGCCAAGUCGCGUGAAGGAAGAAGGAUCUAUGGUUUGUAAACUUCUUUUAUAGGGGAAUAAAGGUAUCCACGUGUGGAUAUUUGCAUGUACCCUAUGAAUAAGCAUCGGCUAACUCCGUGCCAGCAGCCGCGGUAAUAAGGAGGAUGCGAGCGUUAUCCGGAUUUAUUGGGUUUAAAGGGUGCGUAGGUUGUUUUUUAAGUCAGCGGUGAAAGUUUGUGGCUCAACCAUAAAAUUGCCGUUGAAACGGGAAGACGUGAGUGUGUUUGAGGUAGGCGGAAUGCGUGGUGUAGCGGUGAAAUGCAUAGAUAUCACGCAGAACUCCGAUUGCGAAGGCAGCUUACUAAGCCAUAACUGACACUGAAGCACGAAAGCGUGGGGAUCAAACAGGAUUAGAUACCCUUGUAGUC